GAUGAACGCUGGCGGCGUGCCUAAUACAUGCAAGUCGAGCGAACAGACGAGGAGCUUGCUCCUCUGACGUUAGCGGCGGACGGGUGAGUAACACGUGGAUAACCUACCUAUAAGACUGGGAUAACUUCGGGAAACCGGAGCUAAUACCGGAUAAUAUAUUGAACCGCAUGGUUCAAUAGUGAAAGACGGUUUUGCUGUCACUUAUAGAUGGAUCCGCGCCGCAUUAGCUAGUUGGUAAGGUAACGGCUUACCAAGGCAACGAUGCGUAGCCGACCUGAGAGGGUGAUCGGCCACACUGGAACUGAGACACGGUCCAGACUCCUACGGGAGGCAGCAGUAGGGAAUCUUCCGCAAUGGGCGAAAGCCUGACGGAUCAACGCCGCGUGAGUGAUGAAGGUCUUCGGAUCGUAAAACUCUGUUAUUAGGGAAGAACAAAUGUGUAAGUAACUAUGCACGUCUUGACGGUACUUAAUCAGAAAGCCACGGCUAACUACGUG
RNAcentral lists this ribosomal RNA (497 nucleotides) under uncultured bacterium. Its description in RNAcentral is "partial 16S ribosomal RNA". It matches the Rfam family "Bacterial small subunit ribosomal RNA", at positions 28 to 507 of the family's 1533-position model. The record is from RNAcentral.